RNAcentral lists this ribosomal RNA (512 nucleotides) under uncultured bacterium. Its description in RNAcentral is "partial 16S ribosomal RNA". It matches the Rfam family "Bacterial small subunit ribosomal RNA", at positions 28 to 507 of the family's 1533-position model. The record is from RNAcentral.
GAUGAACGCUGGCGGCGUGCCUAAUACAUGCAAGUCGAACGAAACUUCUUUAUCACCGAGUGCUUGCACUCACCGAUAAAGAGUUGAGUGGCGAACGGGUGAGUAACACGUGGGCAACCUGCCCAAAAGAGGGGGAUAACACUUGGAAACAGGUGCUAAUACCGCAUAACCAUAGUUACCGCAUGGUAACUAUGUAAAAGGUGGCUAUACUACCGCUUUUGGAUGGGCCCGCGGCGCAGUAGCUAGUUGGUAGGGUAAAGGCUUACCAAGGCAAUGAUGCGUAGCCGAAUUGAGAGGUUGAUCGGCCACAUUGGGACUGAGACACGGCCCAAACUCCUACGGGAGGCCGCAGUAGGGAAUCUGCCACGAUGGGCGAAAGCCUGAUGGAGCACCGCCGCGUGGGUGAAGAAGGUCUUCGGAUCGUAAAACCCUGUUGUUAGAGACGAAAGUGCGUGAGAGUAACUGUUCACGUUUCGACGGUACCUAACCAGAAAGCCACGGCUAACUACGUG